CUUCCAGGGAGGAUUCGCUUGUUGCUGCAGAGCUUUUUGAGGUCAUGCACUACAGCAAACUUUUGGGGAUCCACAACCUGGAGCAGGUGGUCCGGGAGCAGGCUGGAGAGGAGGCAGUGGGGGCGGCCGACCAGAGGCCCCCACCAUCACARGGCCAGAAGUCCCUCUACUGCACCGCCAUAGAGGCCAUCCGAGGAGAAGCGCACGGCAAGGAAGCACUGGACACUGAGAACAAGCGUGCAGUCAGAACGCUCUGACCUACUCCCCAAGACCCCCACACACAAUGAUGUCACCAGUAACUCUGGUGAAACAACCCUCCAACUCAUCGUUGGGAAACUCGGGGCUCACUACCACGGCUCCUCCCAUCAGGUCAGUGGGAAAGGAGGAGCACAAGGCAGCCAGCACAGAGCAGGACGCUAGCACCCCYAAGAGGUGAGGAACGGAAAUGCAUUCUAAGCUCUUAGUUUCACACAGACACAACUUCUCUCUUGUCCUCAGGUGUUGAAGCACUGACAUCAGUGUCAUCAGUUGACGAGUGUUUCUGUGGAGAUAACGGCAUAGUUCCUCAGACAUACUUGCAUAACAGCUGCAUUCGAUACCUCAACACUGCAACCUAU
Molecule: long non-coding RNA, 617 nt
Organism: Salvelinus sp. IW2-2015
Lineage: Eukaryota; Metazoa; Chordata; Actinopteri; Salmoniformes; Salmonidae
Source: RefSeq, a predicted model, not a curated record